RNAcentral lists this long non-coding RNA (503 nucleotides) under Actinidia chinensis (golden kiwifruit). RNAcentral's name for it is "long non-coding RNA (ACHI_LNC000554)". The record is from RNAcentral. Lineage: Eukaryota; Viridiplantae; Streptophyta; Magnoliopsida; Ericales; Actinidiaceae.
CCAUGACAUUCCGCGAAGAUCCCACGAGCUCUGUGAUAUUUUGUGAGCUCUUGGCUUUUUCCUUUGGCUGGCUUUCUGAAAUGAAAUGGUAUCUCCCUACCCCUCUCUCUAUAUAUACAUAUAAGCUAUUGGAUUUAGUUUGGGCCUGUGUUUCCUUUAGCUAAUUUAAUUGAUUUGUUUGAAUCUUACUUUUUUAGUACAUGUUUAUCGUUUAAUUUUACUUUUCCCCCCCCCCUCUCUCCAUCUUUUUUUUUUUUCUCCCGCAACUGCCUCUCUUGUAUGCUCUUUUCUCCCUCCAAUCUGUUGUGGGAUUUGCAUUUUGACAGGACAACCUUCUUAUAUUUCCAUGGGCUAACUUCUACAACUUUCAUGUAGAUACAAUACGUUUGCAAGUAUACCUUUGUUUAUGUUUAUUAUAAAAAUUUUAAAAAUAACUAUUUCAUUUAAUAGCUUGUAAUAUGAUUUUCCACAAAAUACAAAAAACAAUAGAAAUAGUGGUGGUG